GCCAAAGUGGCGGAACUGGUAGACGCGCACGACUCAAACUCGUGUUCCUCACGGAGUAGGGGUUCGAUUCCCCUCUUUGGUA
Molecule: transfer RNA, 82 nt
Filed under: Balneola sp. EhC07
Lineage: Bacteria; Pseudomonadati; Balneolota; Balneolia; Balneolales; Balneolaceae
Also listed under: 3 other names
Rfam family: tRNA
About the family: Transfer RNA (tRNA) molecules are approximately 80 nucleotides in length. Their secondary structure includes four short double-helical elements and three loops (D, anti-codon, and T loops).
Source: Rfam by way of RNAcentral